Molecule: transfer RNA, 72 nt
Filed under: Podoviridae sp. ctY3D12
Lineage: Duplodnaviria; Heunggongvirae; Uroviricota; Caudoviricetes
Description: tRNA-OTHER
Rfam family: tRNA
About the family: Transfer RNA (tRNA) molecules are approximately 80 nucleotides in length.
Source: RNAcentral
UCCUAUAUAGCUCAGUGGAUAGAGCCGCUAGAAAUAGUGUGAUUUGCGCCAGUUCGAAUCUGGCUAUAGGAG